GGGUGUGGCUCAGUGGUAGAGCUCUUGCCUAGCAUGCACAAGACCCUGGGUUCAAUUCCUAGCAACACA
This 69-nucleotide transfer RNA is filed under the name Marmota monax (woodchuck). RNAcentral describes it as "tRNA.Ala". The stretch from base 4 to 64 matches the Rfam family "tRNA", at positions 6 to 65 of the family's 71-position model. Rfam says of the family: Transfer RNA (tRNA) molecules are approximately 80 nucleotides in length. Lineage: Eukaryota; Metazoa; Chordata; Mammalia; Rodentia; Sciuridae. The record is from RNAcentral.